This 253-nucleotide ribosomal RNA is filed under the name uncultured bacterium. RNAcentral describes it as "partial 16S ribosomal RNA". It matches the Rfam family "Bacterial small subunit ribosomal RNA", at positions 524 to 776 of the family's 1533-position model. The record is from RNAcentral.
UACAGAGGGUGCAAGCGUUGUUCGGAAUUAUUGGGCGUAAAGCGCGUGUAGGCGGCUUUGCAAGUCGGGUGUGAAAGCCCUCAGCUCAACUGAGGAAGUGCGCCCGAAACUGCAUGGCUUGAAUACCGGAGAGGAUGGCGGAAUUCCCCAAGUAGAGGUGAAAUUCGUAGAUAUGGGGAGGAACACCGGUGGCGAAGGCGGCCAUCUGGACAUUAACUGACGCUGAUGCGCGAAAGCGUGGGGAGCAAACAGG